CAUGUAGGCGGAUUAAUAAGUUUGAAGUGAAAUCCUAUAGCUUAACUAUAGAACUGCUUUGAAAACUGUUAAUCUAGAACGUGGGAGAGGUAGAUGGAAUUCCCGGUGUAGCGGUGGAAUGCGUAGAUAUCGGGAGGAACACCAGUGGCGAAGGCGGUCUACUGGGCACCAACUGACGCUGAGGCUCGAAAGCAUGGGUAGCAAACA
Molecule: ribosomal RNA, 207 nt
Filed under: uncultured bacterium
Lineage: Bacteria
Description: partial 16S ribosomal RNA
Rfam family: Bacterial small subunit ribosomal RNA
Source: RNAcentral